AUUGAACGCUGGCGGCAGGCCUAACACAUGCAAGUCGAGCGGAUGAAGGGAGCUUGCUCCUGGAUUCAGCGGCGGACGGGUGAGUAAUGCCUAGGAAUCUGCCUGGUAGUGGGGGAUAACGUCCGGAAACGGGCGCUAAUACCGCAUACGUCCUGAGGGAGAAAGUGGGGGAUCUUCGGACCUCACGCUAUCAGAUGAGCCUAGGUCGGAUUAGCUAGUUGGUGGGGUAAAGGCCUACCAAGGCGACGAUCCGUAACUGGUCUGAGAGGAUGAUCAGUCACACUGGAACUGAGACACGGUCCAGACUCCUACGGGAGGCAGCAGUGGGGAAUAUUGGACAAUGGGCGAAAGCCUGAUCCAGCCAUGCCGCGUGUGUGAAGAAGGUCUUCGGAUUGUAAAGCACUUUAAGUUGGGAGGAAGGGCAGUAAGUUAAUACCUUGCUGUUUUGACGUUACCUACAGAGUAAGCACCGGCUAACUUCGUG
Molecule: ribosomal RNA, 484 nt
Filed under: uncultured bacterium
Lineage: Bacteria
Description: partial 16S ribosomal RNA
Rfam family: Bacterial small subunit ribosomal RNA
Source: RNAcentral